This 773-nucleotide ribosomal RNA is filed under the name human gut metagenome. RNAcentral describes it as "bacterial SSU rRNA". It matches the Rfam family "Bacterial small subunit ribosomal RNA", at positions 8 to 809 of the family's 1533-position model. The record is from RNAcentral.
AGAGUUUGAUCCUGGCUCAGAACGAACGCUGGCGGCAGGCUUAACACAUGCAAGUUGAACGGGAUUUGUAUGGUGCUUGCACCAUGUAAUGAGAGUAGCGCACUGGUGAGUAACACGUGGGAACAUACCUUGAAGUGGGGGACAACAGUUGGAAACGACUGCUAAUACCGCAUAAUCCCUGAGGGGGAAAGAUUUAUCGCUUUAAGAUUGGCCCGCGGAAGAUUAGGUAGUUGGUGGGGUAAAGGCCUACCAAGCCGACGAUCUAUAGCUGGUCUGAGAGGACGAACAGCCACAUUGGAACUGAGACACGGUCCAGACUCCUACGGGAGGCAGCAGUGAGGAAUAUUGGGCAAUGGAGGAAACUCUGACCCAGCCAUGCCGCGUGAGUGAAGAAGGUUUUCGAAUUGUAAAGCUCUUUCGGAUGGGACGAUGAUGACGGUACCAUCUAAAGAAGCCCCGGCAAACUUCGUGCCAGCAGCCGCGGUAAUACGAAGGGGGCGAGCGUUGUUCGGAAUUACUGGGCGUAAAGGGUGUGUAGGCGGAUUUGUAAGAUAGUGGUGAAAUACCUGAGCUCAACUUAGGAAUUGCCAUUAUAACUAUAGAUCUGGAGUGACAGAGAGGAUAUUGGAAUACCCAGUGUAGAGGUGAAAUUCGUAGAUAUUGGGUAGAACACCAGUGGCGAAGGCGAGUAUCUGGCUGUCAACUGACGCUGAGGCACGAAAGCAUGGGGAUCAAACAGGAUUAGAUACCCUGGUAGUCCAUGCUGUAAACGA